Molecule: long non-coding RNA, 1755 nt
Organism: Bombus terrestris (buff-tailed bumblebee)
Lineage: Eukaryota; Metazoa; Arthropoda; Insecta; Hymenoptera; Apidae
Exons: 6
Source: RefSeq, a predicted model, not a curated record
CGUGGAUUGUAGACAAAGAACACACACCACUGUGCGACAACGGACAGAUAUGAAAAUUAGUUGUACCUUUUCACAGCUACGUGGCGAUAGUGUUUCGAGAUCUAUAAAUCGAUCAAAUUUUUAUUUCGAUGAAAGAUCGACGAAAAUAACCUAAUAUUUAUGAAUGAAAGUGUACAUAUGACAACCAGGUUAUGUAGAGAAAUAUGUUUAAGCGAUUGGUGCCUGUGUUAUUUAAUGACAGUUAAUUGUAUUAAUUCAGAUAAUCUUCAUUAAGACAUCGAUAAGAUAAGCUUUGGUAAGAUUUUGAUAAGCUAUGUCUUUCUCUGGACUUUGUUGUGAAAAGAAAUAUUUAAUUGACUCGUAUAAAGGAAUAUUCUCAGUUAAUUUAAAUACACUUUAUGUCAUAACAAUUAAUUAAUUAAUCGAUAUAAGCUGUAUUAAGUCUUCAAUAAGAUGUUCUCGUGAAAAGAAAUACUUAAUCACGCCAUGUAAAGGCAUAAGACCCAUAGAAGCAUAAAGGCACGAUGAACUGAGAGCGUGGAGUAGAAGUCGGAGAUUAACGACGCGAAGGAAAAGCCGUGUUUCCAAAUGACUGCGUUGCAACGGGGAUUUACUACAUUUGCUGCAUCUAUAAUUAUAGGUAUCUUAAUUUUGGGACGAACCUUCGUUUAAUGUAUAGUUAAUUACAGCUUUUUCAUAUUAUUUUUUCCAAGACAGAAAAUUUCUUAAUGGAAAAAUUGAGUCGGACUAAAGAUGGACCAAGAUUUCGUAUUAUUAUUUAAUUUAAAAAUAUCCAGGAGCAAAAAAUAUAGAAAGGUCAAUCCAUCCGCAAGGUUUUGCGAUGAAAGCGUGUCGCGCUCGUGCAAACGAUUAAUUCUAUUCCCAGUGGUAUGAAACUUGCGGUGAGCUCCAUUAUUACGGCAAACAUAGUAUUUUCCACGGUGGAAAAUCCCUUAGGAGGUAUUUUUCACGGAACUAUGUAGGUACCAGAAACAUUAAUAAUUCAGAGAAAGCCAUCGUCGACUGCAACAUUUUUAACUAGGCUUUUAAAACACUACUCGUAUCUCGAUAUUUUUCACGUUCAUAUUUUUCUAUAAAAAUUUGAUAAAACUUGUCUCAGAAAUUAUAUAAUUCUAUACUUACGAAUAAUUCAAUAAAUUCAAUAAUUAGAUCUAUUUAAAUUGCAUCGAGACUGCGAAUAGAAAUCUUGUAUGCAAAUUACUAUGAGUAGGUGGUCUUCUCAUUUCGUAUUCGAUCGUUCGAAGAAUAUCAAACAAAUCAUUAGUAAAAUAUUCGAUAUCGUUAGCCUAGCGAUAUUUCGGUGAAUCGACCAAAUUUCACUUUUCAGAGAACCUUAAUUUCCAUAAAAGGAAAUUCUGAAGCUUGACAUCGAUUUCAAGGUGCAUUUCUCAAAGAUGGGACUUCGGAAACCCCUGAAUAUGCCUGUCUAAUGAAAUGUAACAGAAAUCUACACAAUAUUAGGGUGAAAAUCAUGAGGCUAACGUGGUUGUUUUGUUAUGCUAAUAUAACGUGGCUUGACAUCGUGUUUCAAUUGAUUUUUCUUCGCGGGUAACGUACAAUAGUAUAAAUAGUUUCUCCAAUGUGGAAUUAUCUUCUAUUUCCUUGAAUUUCAACCAUUACAAACCAUUUUUAGUAAUCCUCUAUCGAUAUUUUGAGAAACCAUUGUUUACAUUUAUAUUAUUACUUACUUACAGACUGAGGAUAUUAUCGAAUAAUAAGAUCAAUAUCAAACAA